GACGAACGCUGGCGGCGUGCUUAACACAUGCAAGUCGAACGGAAAGGCCCUGCUUUUGUGGGGUGAUCGAGUGGCGAACGGGUGAGUAACACGUGAGUAACCUGCCCUUGACUUUGGGAUAACUUCAGGAAACUGGGGCUAAUACCGGAUAGGAGCUCCUGCUGCAUGGUGGGGGUUGGAAAGUUUCGGCGGUUGGGGAUGGACUCGCGGCUUAUCAGCUUGUUGGUGGGGUAGUGGCUUACCAAGGCUUUGACGGGUAGCCGGCCUGAGAGGGUGACCGGCGACAUUGGGACUGAGAGACGGCCCAGACUCCUACGGGAGGCAGCAGUGGGGAAUAUUGCACAAUGGGCGGAAGCCUGAUGCAGCAACGCCGCGUGCGGGAUGACGGCCUUCGGGUUGUAAACCGCUUUCGCCUGUGACGAAGCGUGAGUGACGGUAAUGGGUAAAGAAGCACCGGCUAACUACGUG
RNAcentral lists this ribosomal RNA (468 nucleotides) under uncultured bacterium. RNAcentral describes it as "partial 16S ribosomal RNA". It matches the Rfam family "Bacterial small subunit ribosomal RNA", at positions 28 to 507 of the family's 1533-position model. The record is from RNAcentral.